This 339-nucleotide unclassified non-coding RNA is filed under the name soil metagenome. Its description in RNAcentral is "partial contains 5.8S ribosomal RNA, internal transcribed spacer 2, and large subunit ribosomal RNA". The stretch from base 1 to 120 matches the Rfam family "5.8S ribosomal RNA", at positions 35 to 154 of the family's 154-position model. The record is from RNAcentral.
GAUGAAGAACGCAGCGAAAUGCGAUAAGUAGUGUGAAUUGCAGAAUUCAGUGAAUCAUCGAAUCUUUGAACGCACAUUGCGCCCUUUGGUAUUCCAAAGGGCAUGCCUGUUCGAGCGUCAUUUGUACCCUCAAGCUUUGCUUGGUGUUGGCGUCUUGUCUCUAGCUUUGCUGGAGACUCGCCUUAAAGUAAUUGGCAGCCGGCCUACUGGUUUCGGAGCGCAGCACAAGUCGCACUCUCUAUCAGCAAAGGUCUAGCAUCCAUUAAGCCUUUUUUUCAACUUUUGACCUCGGAUCAGGUAGGGAUACCCGCUGAACUUAAGCAUAUCAAUAGCGGAGGA